CUUUAUAUAUUACUCAGUCUCAGGUAUUUCUUUUCUUUUUUUUUUUUUUUUUUGAGAUGGAGUCUCGCUCUGUCACCCAGGCUGGAGUGCAGUGGCGCGAUCUCGGCUCACUGCAAACUUUGCCUCCCGGGUUCACACCAUUCUCCUGCCUCAGCCUCCCGAGUAGCUGGGACUACAGGUACCCACCACCGCACCCGGCUAAUUUUUUGUAUUUUUAGUAGAGACGGGGUUUCACCGUGUUAACCAGGAUGGUCUCGACAAAAAAGAGGUUUAACUGACGCACAGUUCUGCAGUCUGUACAGGAAGCGUAGCAGCAUCAUCUUCUGAGGAGGCCUCAGGAAGCCUCCAAUCAUAACAGAAGGCAAAGGGGAAGAAGGCAUGUCAUCGGCUUUAGUGACAGUGUGGUUCUGGGUUACCCGCUAUGUUCAGGGCCAGUGGGAGACAAGGUCCCUGUUUCCCACUAGUGCCCCUCUAAGACACUACCCAUCCCUGCUGUGACAUUUGCCACACUUCCGAUUCUAUGUGGGCCCCACUGGGCAAUUCCAAACCACCUGUUUAGAUCACAGUUUCUCAACCUUCUAGUCUUCACUAUUGUGAACAGUGCUGCAAUGAACAUUCACGUGCUGUGUCUUUAUGGUAGAAUGCUUUAUAUUCCUCUGGGUAUAUACCCAAUAGUGGGAUUGCUGGAUUGAAUGGUAGUUCUACUUUUAGCUCUUUGAGGAAUUGCCAUACUGUUUUACACAAGGGUUG
This 750-nucleotide long non-coding RNA is filed under the name Homo sapiens (human). Its description in RNAcentral is "non-protein coding lnc-TP53RK-4:1". Lineage: Eukaryota; Metazoa; Chordata; Mammalia; Primates; Hominidae. The record is from RNAcentral.